UUUAAAUUUAGAGUUUGAUCCUGGCUCAGGACGAACGCUGGCGGCGUGCUUAACACAUGCAAGUCGAGCGAUGAAACUUCCUUCGGGAAGUGGAUUAGCGGCGGACGGGUGAGUAACACGUGGGUAACCUGCCUCAAAGUGGGGGAUAGCCUUCCGAAAGGAAGAUUAAUACCGCAUAAUAUGAGAGAAUCGCAUGAUUUUCUUAUCAAAGAUUUAUCGCUUUGAGAUGGACCCGCGGCGCAUUAGCUAGUUGGUAAG
Molecule: ribosomal RNA, 258 nt
Filed under: Clostridium botulinum
Lineage: Bacteria; Bacillati; Bacillota; Clostridia; Eubacteriales; Clostridiaceae
Description: partial 16S ribosomal RNA
Rfam family: Bacterial small subunit ribosomal RNA
Source: RNAcentral